Molecule: ribosomal RNA, 1419 nt
Filed under: metagenome
Description: SSU rRNA
Rfam family: Eukaryotic small subunit ribosomal RNA
Source: RNAcentral
CGGGGAAUCAGGGUUCGAUUCCGGAGAGGGAGCCUGAGAAAUAGCUACCACAUCCAAGGAAGGCAGCAGGCGCGCAAAUUACCCACUCCCGAAACGGGGAGGUAGUGACGAUAAAUAACGAUGCGGGACUCAAUCGAGGCCCCGUAAUUGGAAUGAGUACACUUUAAAUCCUUUAACGAGGAUCAAUUGGAGGGCAAGUCUGGUGCCAGCAGCCGCGGUAAUUCCAGCUCCAAUAGCGUAUAUUAAAGUUGUUGCAGUUAAAAAGCUCGUAGUUGGAUCUCAGGAUUUGGAUGGAUGGUUCGCUUUCGGGCGCUACUAUCUGUCUGACCUACUCUAGUCGUGGAUGCCUUGGGUGCUCUUAAUUGAGUGCUUUUGGUGCCCGACGCAAUUACUUUGAAAAAAAUUAGAGUGCUCAAAGCAGGCGUAUUGCCUGAAUAGUGUUGCAUGGAAUAAUGAAAUAGGAGUUUACUUCUAUUUUGUUGGUUUUCGGAGGUGAACUAAUGAUUAACAGGGACAGACGGGGGCAUUUGUAUGGAGGGGUUAGAGGUGAAAUUCUUGGAUCCUCUCCAGACAAACUACUGCGAAAGCAUUUGCCAGGAAUGUUUUCACUAAUCAAGAACGAAAGUCAGAGGUUCGAAGACGAUCAGAUACCGUCCUAGUUCUGACCAUAAAUGAUGCCAUCUAACAAUCCACGAAGUUUGCUUGUACGAACUCGUGGGCGGUCCCCGGGAAACCAAAGAUUUUGGGUUCCGGGGGAAGUAUGGUUGCAAAGCUGAAACUUAAAGGAAUUGACGGAAGGGCACCACCAGGAGUGGAGCCUGCGGCUUAAUUUGACCCAACACGGGAAACCUCACCCGGCCCGGACACUUUUAGGAUUGACAGAUUGAAGGCUCUUUCUUGAUCAAGUGGUUGGUGGUGCAUGGCCGUUCUUAGUUGGUGGAGCGAUUUGUCUGGUUAAUUCCGAUAACGAACGAGACUCUACUCUGCUAAAUAGAACGUUGAUAUAUAAAAGUCAGUGCUGACUUCUUAGAGAGACUAACGGCGUUUAGCCGUGUGAGAAAGAGCAAUAACAGGUCUGUGAUGCCCUUAGAUGUCCGGGGCCGCACGCGCGCUACACUGACUGCAGCAACUAGUAUGCUCCUGGUUUGAAAAAACUGGGUAACCUGGUUGAAUUGCAGGCGUGACAGGGAUCAGAGUUUGCAAUUAUCCUCUGUGAACGAGGAAUUCCCAGUAAGCGCAAGUCAUUAGCUUGUGCUGAUUACGUCCCUGCCCUUUGUACACACCGCCCGUCGCUACUACCGAUUGAAUGGUUUAGUGAGGUCUUCGGAUUGGUGCUGAUGGAGUGGUUCUCUGCUCUGUUAGUGCCGAGAAGAUGAUCAAACUUGAUCAUUUAGAGGAAGUAAAAGUCGUAACAAGGUU